Molecule: long non-coding RNA, 2597 nt
Organism: Siniperca chuatsi (mandarin fish)
Lineage: Eukaryota; Metazoa; Chordata; Actinopteri; Centrarchiformes; Sinipercidae
Exons: 2
Source: RefSeq, a predicted model, not a curated record
AUGGUAAUUUUUGCAUUUCAUUUUCACAAAAAAAAAAAUAUAAAAUAGAUAAUGAUGUGAUUUUUGCUGGAGUCUAUACAAACAAGCAUGUUCAUUUGCGUCUGGAGAACAUGAUUUGUAGGCCGGGGCAUCUCUGUUGCACCACAGUGCUUCAUUUAUAAUGGUCUGUUGUGACACAUUUUACCUUUAUCAAAAAAUUGCAGCUCCUUGGCCAUAUUGCGGUUUCGAUAACAUUAAUUGUUCAGCCCUAAACUCAUUUAUCGAAUAAUCGUUUCAGCUCUACUUUCAAGCUUAUCUCCUAUUCAUGCAUUUUGAUAUUUUGAAGUAAUAGACUUCAGUAGUGUUCGUUGUUCCUCGAAUUUUAGAAGAGAAUACAGAUAUGCUGUGUACAGUACAGUGUAUUUGUUGUGUAUUUGCUUAUACAUGGUUUAGUGAGUUCAUCUCCUUUCAGGCCACGGGAGGAGGAGGUUGGCGGGGGUUGCGAGCACUUAUGUGGGCUGUUUGUUUGCACAUUUGCCAGCAGUUUGCCAUAGACUCAAACAAACCCCUGCCGGGUUGUAAUAGCUUGCUGGAAUUCCCUCGCCUCUGAACGGCUAAAGAUUUUGUUGUCAUCUUUGACUGCAUUGCAGUAGGAAGCCUGGACGUCUUUACCAGCACAGCCAGGCAGCGCUGACGUCCUGCUGUCUGUCACUGCUUGGCAACAGACACAUUUGCAGCCCUCCCUCCAAGAUCACUCUGUUCCUCUCUUUAAUUGAGUUGUGCCAAGCUGAAUUGGAUUGUCAAUGACAAGUCUGAUUACUUUCCUUGUCAAAAUUUCUUUUCCUAUCACACAACACCUUGAAGUAAUAAUCCAAGACAUUUUUUAUUUUAAAAAGAUGCCUGCUUUGCUUUUCUCUACCACCCUGCCUGAUUUCACAGUAGUGAUUCCAACUGGAUCCAGUUCAUUUUAGCCCUUUCUUGAGAAAAAAAUUACAUUUCCAGCAUCAGAGACAAAAGUUUGAUUGUAAUUUUUUUUUUAAGAAUUGGGUGGUUAGCACGAGCAGUGAACAGAAACAAAAGCAGGAUGGUUCAUACUGUUUGGGAUUUCUUGGAAGGGAUUUCUGGAUAACCGGGUGGCAUUUACUGUCCUCUGACACCAGACCUCAGCAAAUAAAGAUGUGAUACUGGGCAGAUCUAUGCGACUGUGAAUAGGAUGCUCAAGAAGCUCAAGUUAGUCUUCCUGGAUAAAUAAAGACAAAUAAACCAACUCAUCAUCCUUUUCUUCUUCCCGUACUGCCCGCCCUUGAGGCUCUUUCAGUGCCUGAGAGUCAUGAAUAAUGACCCAACGCGAGGCUGUAUGGACAGACUUUUCUGAGCAUCUCACGUAUUAUGCAUGAGAUCACUUCCAGUUGAAGUUCCACAUUCGGCUCUCAUCCAGCAAAGCGCUCCCUCCUUGAUUUGGCUCAAUUCUGCAUUGUCAUCCUCCUUUAAUUAACCCUUGGUAGCCCGCUGCUGACGGCAUGUCUGAUUGCCUCCCCAAAGGCCCAUCCUGGUGAGGAGGGGAGGGGAGACGAAGAGAGAGGAGGGGGAGCCAGAAGCAGCAGCAGGGGGUGAAAGUGGAAGAGUGAGGUAGUCCUUUCUUCCUUUGUCUCUCGUUCCCAUUUCCUCUCUGGACUCCCAGUCGCCUAACAGCUUCUAGCUUCUCUGCCAGGUGGGGUUUUGCCUCCUGUGGUAGUAGGCGCUGUAGGGGAACAGACCAAAGCAAAACACUUCUGUGACAAGACGACAGGCAGCGUCCAUCCCACAAGAGAGUCAAGGAGAAAAUGAGCCCAUCAUCAGCUUUGGCAGCCGACAAAAAGGCAGGAGAAGAAGAGUAAAGUCAUUUGCGAGGAUAUCUUGGUGUUUUCUCAUGUCUAAUUGCAAGAGCUCGGUGGCAUUAACUCGGAUUAUGGUACAGACAAAUUGAGUUCUUCCCAUUUACAUUACAGAGCCCUGCUCUAUGUGUGUAUAGAUGUGUGGGAGAGAGAGGAAAUAAAGAAACAGUGCAUUUCAAAGUUUUGUGUGCGACAGAUAGUUGUCAUGGCGGUUGGAAAAGGACGUCUUUGUUGUGGCUUUUCUUUUUUCUACUCUGAGCACUUUAGCUUGCUAUGUGUACAGUUAGUGAUUUAUUAUCAUACCUGAAUCUGUGGUGUUAUUUGUUAUAAUAUGGGUGUGGUAAAGUCAUUGUAGACUACAUGACAAUGCUAAAUCAAUGAACUUAAGUAGACUUCCUACAGUAUGAACAUCACAAUCAACCAAUGAAAGCUCCAAGCUGCCCAGUAAACAGGUAACGAAAUAUUUUACUUAGCAAGAAAUCAAAUGUUUUAGGAGAGACAGAGCAGCAUGAAAUGUUAAUGAAAACUAUUAAUGUUACAAACACAAUGAAGUUCAGAGGUAAUAUCUCUGUAAAUUAAGCUUAUUUGGUCAUUUAAAAAUUCUCAGCCCACACUUUCAGCCUCUGUCAAUCUGUCAAUCAAACAGCAGCAAAAGCCUCUCUCCGUUCUAGCUUUAAGAAAGAGUUGUUUAUUUGUACACAAACAGCAACUGACCUAUAGAUGAUUAAAUGAUGAGGAAUUCAA